Rosa chinensis is the source of this 329-nucleotide long non-coding RNA. RefSeq lists it as uncharacterized. The record is from RefSeq and is a predicted model, not a curated record. The transcript is spliced from 3 exons. Lineage: Eukaryota; Viridiplantae; Streptophyta; Magnoliopsida; Rosales; Rosaceae.
AUGCCACCAAAGGCAUUGGACUAUGAGUCACUGAAUGAGAACAUGAAGAAGGUUUUAUAUGCUGUUAGAGGCGAGUUAUAUGUUCGAGCUUCUGAGAUUCAGAAGGAAGGAAAGAAGAAAGUAUCUACAUCCCCCCACAUGACUUAAGUCUCGGAGUUUAGUCAGGAUCUAGAAGAAAGGUUUUUGUACUAUGUAUCUGGAUCACAUUUGGUGCUUCUCUGUGACCUAUUGGCUACUGCAAUUGCAAAGGAGUUGGCGCAAGAGUUGAGUUCUUCAAAUGGGAAAUUGAAAGCAGUUAUCGAUGAGUUAAGAAUUGAAGUGGAAUUUAU